This 416-nucleotide long non-coding RNA is filed under the name Bos taurus (domestic cattle). RNAcentral's name for it is "long non-coding RNA NONBTAT007400". The record is from RNAcentral. Lineage: Eukaryota; Metazoa; Chordata; Mammalia; Artiodactyla; Bovidae.
GAGUCAGGCAUAACUACUGCGAAUACCACCUAUAGGUUGAGGCUUCAGAUUUGCAAAUUCUCAUGUUGCAAUAAACGCAAUUCACAACAUCCUUUUACACAGCACAACAUUCAUCAAUGGCUUUGAUGAUGGUAGUGAUGGCGAUUGUACCAGCAAGGAUGUAGGGGAAAAUCUUACCCAAAGCAACUAGGAAUAAAGAUUUUAUCAUCUCAGCCCUCAUAAAAUACUUUGCUUAGAUGUCUUUCAUUCCCAGAAGAGAAUGCAUAAUAUCCAAAGAGCAGAGGCAGAAGAAUGUUUCUUAUUUAUUCCUAUAAUUAUUGUCCUGUUUUGCUGAAGAAGGAGGUUGAUUAUAUUGAGGCAGUCAUUGUGACAUACAGAAAAGUACUAUGCCCAUCUGUUACGACGCCCUUAGAAUU